Molecule: ribosomal RNA, 494 nt
Filed under: uncultured Glomeromycotina
Lineage: Eukaryota; Fungi; Glomeromycota
Description: SSU rRNA
Rfam family: Eukaryotic small subunit ribosomal RNA
Source: RNAcentral
AGCAGCCGCGGUAAUUCCAGCUCCAAUGGCGUAUAUUAAAGUUGCUGCAGUUAAAAAGCUCGUAGUUGAAUUUCGGGACCAUCAUGUCGGUCGUGCCUCGGUACGUACUGGUAUUGUUGGUUUCUCCCUUCUGACGAACCAUGAUGUCAUUUAUUUGGUGUUGUGGGGAAUCAGGACUGUUACUUUGAAAAAAUUAGAGUGUUUAAAGCAGGCAUUUUUGCUUGAAUACAUUAGCAUGGAAUAAUAAAAUAGGACGGCAUGGUUCUAUUUUGUUGGUUUCUAGGACCACCGUAAUGAUUAAUAGGGAUAGUUGGGGGCAUUAGUAUUCAAUUGUCAGAGGUGAAAUUCUUGGAUUUCUGAAAGACUAACUACUGCGAAAGCAUUUGCCAAGGAUGUUUUCAUUAAUCAAGAACGAAAGUUAGGGGAUCGAAGACGAUCAGAUACCGGUCGUAGUCUUAACCAUAAACUAUGCCGACUAGGGAUCGGAUGAUGUU